UACGUAGGGUGCGAGCGUUGCCCGGAUUUAUUGGGCGUAAAGGGCGCGCAGGCGGCCACGCACGUCCGUUGUGAAAUCGCCCGGCUCAACUGGGCGGGGUCAGCGGAUACGGCGUGGCUGGAGCAAGCUAGGGGGCAAUGGAAUUCCCGGUGUAGUGGUGGAAUGCGUAGAUAUCGGGAGGAACACCAGUGGCGAAGGCGGUUGCCUGGAGCUUUGCUGACGCUGAGGCGCGAAAGCGUGGGGAGCAAACAGG
RNAcentral lists this ribosomal RNA (253 nucleotides) under uncultured bacterium. RNAcentral's name for it is "partial 16S ribosomal RNA". It matches the Rfam family "Bacterial small subunit ribosomal RNA", at positions 524 to 776 of the family's 1533-position model. The record is from RNAcentral.